RNAcentral lists this ribosomal RNA (434 nucleotides) under uncultured bacterium. Its description in RNAcentral is "bacterial SSU rRNA". It matches the Rfam family "Bacterial small subunit ribosomal RNA", at positions 340 to 767 of the family's 1533-position model. The record is from RNAcentral.
UACGGAAGGCAGCAGUGGGGAAUAUUGCACAAUGGGCGCAAGCCUGAUGCAGCCAUGCCGCGUGUAUGAAGAAGGCCUUCGGGUUGUAAAGUACUUUCAGUCGUGAGGAAGGUGUUAAGGUUAAUAACCUUAGCAAUUGACGUUAGCGACAGAAGAAGCACCGGCUAACUCCGUGCCAGCAGCCGCGGUAAUACGGAGGGUGCGAGCGUUAAUCGGAAUUACUGGGCGUAAAGGGCACGCAGGCGGUUAAUUAAGUUGGAUGUGAAAUCCCCGGGCUUAACCUGGGAAUGGCAUUCAAGACUGGUUAGCUAGAGUCUUGUAGAGGGGGUAGAAUUCCAUGUGUAGCGGUGAAAUGCGUAGAGAUGUGGAGGAAUACCGGUGGCGAAGGCGGCCCCUGGGACAAAGACUGACGCUCAUGUGCGAAAGCGUGGGGA